RNAcentral lists this transfer RNA (70 nucleotides) under Marmota monax (woodchuck). RNAcentral's name for it is "tRNA.Ala". Lineage: Eukaryota; Metazoa; Chordata; Mammalia; Rodentia; Sciuridae. The record is from RNAcentral.
GGCUUGUGGCUCAGUGGUACAGUGCUCUCGCCUAGCAUGUGUGAGGCACUGGGUUCGAUCAUCAGCACCA